Molecule: long non-coding RNA, 2598 nt
Filed under: Sus scrofa (pig)
Lineage: Eukaryota; Metazoa; Chordata; Mammalia; Artiodactyla; Suidae
Description: lncRNA (ENSSSCG00035078361.1)
Source: RNAcentral
AAUUGACCAUGGGAAAAAAUGCAGAAAGAAAACAGAAGGCCAAUGACCAAUCCUCCCCUUGUCAAGGAAUAAUUUUAGAAUUUGUAUUAAAGGGAAAACAAUCAUUGAGUUAAUCUAGCAAAAGCAAAAACAAUUUCUGUAAGAGAAAUAAUAGAGAGGAAAGAAGAAAAAAUGUAGAUAGCUUGAAAAUUGUGUUUUCUAUGGGUAAGCUGCUGAUUAGCUGUUAGCCAACAAAGAAGCCAGUUAGCGUAUUCUGCCCUGGGACAAGUGGAUCGACUGUUAAAUAAUACAGCUUCACUUGGUUAUAGAUUCUCUGGAAGACCUUAGGAGUUUAGCUCAGGUGUAUGUGUCAGGCUGUUUCUGGAUAAAUACUGUCUAUCAUCUUUUGUAAGGACCUUCAUCAUGCUAGGUUUGUAUUGUUUCCCUCAUCAGAAUUUCUGAACUCCCUUUUAAUCAGCUUCAGCUCUAAUCCAGAUUGGCCCUGAGGACUUCACUGUUGUUCUGAGGCAGUUACAUGAAUUGAAUGUUGUGUGAGGGGAAUGGCCGUUGAAACCAUUUAGACCCCUGAGUACUAGACAGCAGAAGAUAGCAAAAAGAUGGGAGUUCCCAUUGUGACUCAGUGGGUUAACAACCUGACUAAUAUCCAUGAAGUUGUGGAUCAUGACCUCACUCAGUGGGUUAAGGAUCCCGCAUUGCCGCAAGCUGUGGUGUAGGUCGCAGAUGAGGCUUGGAUCCUCAGCCAUGUGAAGGGGACCUCAAGAGCGCAGUUUGCAGUUACAGGGUAAUGAUGCAGGAGAAGAAGAUUGGCAUACUCCUCCUCUACUGAUCCCUUCAAUCUUGGGGCUGUUGUUGCCCUGAUCAAAGGGGGCAUGCAGUGGAAGAGUUGUUGUGAAACCUUGAUAUAUUAUCUCCUGGAGUUUGGGAUUUAUGUGACCCUAGAACCUGAUGCCUUCUGUCUACUUGGAGAAUCUGCCCACAGCAAGGAAAAAGAGAAAGUCACACUCACCCUGCUUGCCUAACCCUAACAAAUCCCAGUUCUCGUCGCUAGCCCGCUAGCCCCUUACUCUAAAUUCUGUCUCCUAAACCCCUAACCUCAUCACUGAGAGUGACUUAACUUUUUUGACUUUUAAUCCAACCCUGGCUUUUCUGACCCUGACUUAUUCCCUUCUGAAGCCAACCUUGUUACUCUGACUCUUGAUCCUUAAGCUCAUGUCCUAAACCUUAGGCCCUUGCUACAGCCCCAAUAUCUAAUUCCACCCUAGUCUCUAGUCACCUUCCAAAUAUCUGACCCUGGAGCUUGAACACUUUUGACCCCUGACCACCAUUCUAACCUUAACACCUCUAUACUAAUUUCCAAUCCUAACCCAAGCCCCAGCCCCUAAACUAAUAACCCUUUAACUGUAGAUCUGAUUUCUAGAUUCUGAGCCACUGAUGUUUAUCCUCUUAACUUCUUAUCCCACCUUCUAAUCCCUAAGCCAUAAGUUCUAACCCCUGAUCCUGGAACCUUAGACUCCCAACUCUGAUUCCACAAAUAACAAAUCAGUAUUUUAUCCUACCAUGAGCCACAGACAAGGGGAGUUGCAGCAGUUCAAACUAUACAUAGGUUAGAAGACACAGAAAUGAAUGCCAGCAAAUUAAUUCACCAGGUACCAAACAUGAGACAAUAGGACCCUUAGUAAGGCAGUAAAACUUUCCCAAAUGCAGGAUAUGGUGAAUAACAUCAAGCCUGAACAAACUUCCAAGUUGCAGAAAAUGGGCAAUGAAAGUCUCAGUCAUUCUGACCAUACCUUCAUGUCCCAGCAUGGCACCUUCACUCAGCAAGUCAUUCUAGCCCUCUGGUGGAAGAGAAUAGUCCUUAGUAGGUUGUAAAGUUCCCAGAUACGGGAUAGGUGGCUCUGUAAAGCCCCUGCCUUAGGACACAGCAAAAGAAACCUCAGCAACACAAUAGCCACUAUAACCCAGAAGAUAAAUCAGUUGGAACUGCCACCACCACCCUCAAUAUCCCUAGCACAAUCAUUUGGACUCCAGGAGAAGCCACAGCAAAUUGGCUAACAACCCAGCUGAACAGGAGACAGGACCCCUAUGUGAAACCACCUUCACAACUCAUUAGUGAAAUUAAAACAAUCCAAUUUAAAAAUGGGCAACUGUACCUCAAUAGACAUUUCUUCAAAGAAGGCAAAUGAAUGGAAUGGUCAACAGGUACAUGAAAAGUUCAACAGAACUAAUCCUAAGGGAAAUAUAAAUCAAAACCACAGUGAAGUAUUAUCUCACACCUGUUGGAAUAGCUGUUAUCAAAAAGGUAGGAAAUGUGGAGUUCCCGUCGUGGCGCAGUGGUUAACGAAUCCGACUAGGAACCAUGAGGUUGCGGGUUCAGUCCCUGCCCUUGCUCAGUGGGUUAACGAUCCGGCGUUGCCGUGAGCUCUGGUGUAGGUUGCAGACACGGCUCGGAUCCCGCGUUGCUGUGGCUCUGGCGUAGGCCGGUGGCUACAGCUCCGAUUCAACCCCUGGCCUGGGAACCUCCAUAUGCCGCCGGAGCGGCCCAAGAAAUAGCAACAACAACAACAACAAAAGACAAAAGACAAAAAAAAAAAAAAAAAA